Molecule: ribosomal RNA, 350 nt
Filed under: Bacillus safensis
Lineage: Bacteria; Bacillati; Bacillota; Bacilli; Caryophanales; Bacillaceae
Description: partial 23S ribosomal RNA
Rfam family: Bacterial large subunit ribosomal RNA
Source: RNAcentral
CUGUUCGCCCAUUAAAGCGGUACGCGAGCUGGGUUCAGAACGUCGUGAGACAGUUCGGUCCCUAUCCGUCGCGGGCGCAGGAAAUUUGAGAGGAGCUGUCCUUAGUACGAGAGGACCGGGAUGGACGCACCGCUGGUGUACCAGUUGUUCUGCCAAGGGCAUCGCUGGGUAGCUAUGUGCGGACGGGAUAAGUGCUGAAAGCAUCUAAGCAUGAAGCCCCCCUCAAGAUGAGAUUUCCCAUUCCGCAAGGAAGUAAGAUCCCUGAAAGAUGAUCAGGUUGAUAGGUCUGAGGUGGAAGCGUGGUGACACGUGGAGCUGACAGAUACUAAUAGAUCGAGGACUUAACCUAU